Molecule: small nucleolar RNA, 107 nt
Filed under: Olea europaea subsp. europaea
Lineage: Eukaryota; Viridiplantae; Streptophyta; Magnoliopsida; Lamiales; Oleaceae
Description: Plant small nucleolar RNA R71
Rfam family: Plant small nucleolar RNA R71
About the family: R71 is a member of the C/D box family of snoRNAs containing the C (UGAUGA) and D (CUGA) box motifs. Multiple nearly identical copies of this snoRNA have been identified in Arabidopsis, and it is thought to function as a 2'-O-ribose methylation guide for 18S ribosomal RNA.
Source: Rfam by way of RNAcentral
AAUCCAUCGUGAGGGCAUCGCCUGAGUAGGUCUUUAUAUCGCUCCCAAGCCUCGUAAAGUGUUUCACCCUCCAAUUGAGAAAAAUUUGAAAUUUCAUUGCACAUCUU